UUAGUAUUUUAUUUAUUUAUUUUUUUCAGAAAUCAUGUUAAUAUUCGAGGGCUUUUUUAACUUCUUUCAUGGAAAUCUAAGGCUCAAGUCAAGGUCCGGUUGCUUGGCGGAAAAGUUUUUCUUUGGUUAUCGCCCCCCUUGACAAAUUGCAAAUGACACUUCAUCUUCGUCAUAGCAUGAGAAAGAGCUAUCAAGAGAAAAACGCUCAAGAGAGACAGACAUCCCAGGACGGAGAGUGAAGUAGACUUUGGAUGGGAAACAGUUUUUGGGUGUAAGAAAAAUAUAUUUUUUUAAAACGAAUCUCUCAAUCGAUUCUUAAAAAACAAAAAUUUAGCACAGUUCUGGAUUUGUGUGUGUUCUCUGUUUUUCAAGUUUUAAAUCUACAGGCAAUCUAAUUUCCAAAUGGCUCUAAACUGAAAGUAGAAAAGAAGCCUGCAGCCAAGAAGGCUCUUGCAGAGAAAAAGAAAAAGCUUCCUAAAGCUGCAUCCUUCGCCGACAUGAAGAAGAGAGCAAAGAAGAGUGUAGAGGGAGAAAUAAAAGGUUUAAAAUCGACAAGAAGGUUGCUUGGUGAGAAGAGGUGGUUAGAGGUUGAGUUGUUUGGCCAUCCUCUUUCUUCCUCUAUCGAAAGACCUCCUAGGUAACACGGAUGGCCAAACCACCAAACUCUUGUUCACAUUGUUUUCUUCACCUUCGCUUUCUUUUGUUUUGGUUUCCAAUUUUGACAUGUCUUCGGGAAUCGAGGUUGUCGAACAGGUUGACAAAUAUCUUUUAUUUCCAAGAAAAAAAAUUCUUGAACUCGGCCAAAAGUAACAGAACUGUACAGGAAGGUCAUCAAGGUCUCGGUUUACAUUUGGGUGAUAUAGUUUCCUGGAGACAUGCCGGGAAGUCAGAUUGGCCCGUGACACGGUUUAUGAAAGAUUAACAAGAAACAAGACUUCCAUCGAAAUCCAGAGUAAGAAACUAUAAGAUUUUUGAAUAA
This is a long non-coding RNA of Mangifera indica (mango), 979 nucleotides long. RefSeq lists it as uncharacterized. The record is from RefSeq and is a predicted model, not a curated record. The transcript has 2 exons. Lineage: Eukaryota; Viridiplantae; Streptophyta; Magnoliopsida; Sapindales; Anacardiaceae.